UAAAAGAUCAUUUUAUUGAAUUGACAUCACAGCCUAAAAAUACGGAUGAACUAAACAAAUAGAAUUGCAGUAUUAAAACUCUAAUAUCACAAACUCUGAUCACUUUAUUUGACAAGUUUUUGUUCCACUAUAAAUAUCUGCAGUUAUCUUUUUGGUCAGUAGAGAGCAGUAGAGAGCGAGCAAUCCCCUGUAGAGAAGAGAUCAGUGGAGCAAGUUGGGUGCAACAAGUGACUGCGGUUCCAGCCUCCAGUAAAAAAGUCAAGCCAGCAGAAACAACGAUUGUUCAUACUAAGCAUUACGUGUCUGCGCCUGACAUGCACCAGCAUCCUACAUGAGGGGCACGAGACGGACCUGAUCUACCGAGGUGGCAUAGGGUGGCAAAUGCCACCCUAAAAGAAAGCCUUGCUACCCCUGCUGCCAGCCCAAUUUGCAGCGACGAAUUUGACAUUUACGAUCAAGGAACACCAAUGUCUGACUGAAGGCAAUGCAGCACGAGAUGACGAGCGGCUGCAGCGCCAGCGCAGUAACACACUGUUUUGUUUUGAAAAAGCGAGGGCGCUAGGACGCACGAGUCAGGAGGAAAGAAGACACAGGGGGAGAGAGACAUAUCCAAGUCCAGUUGCGAGGUGCCAGCGCAGCCAAUGCGAGACAGUUUCCCUAAGACCCUCCAGGGAGGAGCCAGAAGAAGCUUCCGCAGCAACUGGUACAAAGUUCAUCCCUGGUUAGAAUUCUCACAAUCAAAAGAUGCAGCUUACUGUUUUGCAUGUCAGCAUUUUCCCUCGAAUCAAGUUCGUUCAGUUGUUGGACCCAUACCAGGAUGUUUUUUACGAGUUGUUCACAUUGUGUAAAAUAGUGGUUGUUUUACCUGUGAGAGAAGUUUUUCAUCUCUCCAGCUCAUAAAGACUUAUUUGCAGUCUACUAUGACUGCAAACUGCCCCCUUCUUGCCACCCCAUAAAUAUUUUUCUCGCUCUACCUCUGGGCAUUACAGACAUUAUUUAAAACACUUUUGCUUUUGAUUUUGAUUUCCUUCUUAUUUCACUACCAAACAAGCUUUGAAUCAGUUCCCUACCAGCAUUUUUUUCCCUGAACAUCU
Molecule: long non-coding RNA, 1094 nt
Organism: Phyllopteryx taeniolatus (common seadragon)
Lineage: Eukaryota; Metazoa; Chordata; Actinopteri; Syngnathiformes; Syngnathidae
Exons: 3
Source: RefSeq, a predicted model, not a curated record